Molecule: transfer RNA, 73 nt
Organism: Synechococcus sp. PCC 7335
Lineage: Bacteria; Bacillati; Cyanobacteriota; Cyanophyceae; Synechococcales; Synechococcaceae
Rfam family: tRNA
About the family: Transfer RNA (tRNA) molecules are approximately 80 nucleotides in length. Their secondary structure includes four short double-helical elements and three loops (D, anti-codon, and T loops).
Source: Rfam
GGGGCUAUAGCGCAGCUGGUAGCGCACCUCAAUGGCAUUGAGGGGGUCAGGAGUUCGAAUCUCCUUAGCUCCA